GCCCAGACUCCUACGGGAGGCAGCAGUGGGGAAUAUUGGGCAAUGGGCGCAAGCCUGACCCAGCAACGCCGCGUGAAGGAAGAAGGCUUUCGGGUUGUAAACUUCUUUUCUCAGGGACGAAGCAAGUGACGGUACCUGAGGAAUAAGCCACGGCUAACUACGUGCCAGCAGCCGCGGUAAUACGUAGGUGGCAAGCGUUAUCCGGAUUUACUGGGUGUAAAGGGCGUGUAGGCGGGAAAGCAAGUCAGAUGUGAAAACCAUGGGCUCAACCUGUGGCCUGCAUUUGAAACUGUCAAACUAGAGUACGGGAGAGGUAAGAGGAAUUCCUAGUGUAGCGGUGAAAUGCGUAGAUAUUAGGAGGAACACCAGUGGCGAAGGCGGCCUGCUGGACGAUGACUGACGCUGAGGCUCGAAAGCGUGGGGAGCAAACAGGAUUAGAUACCCUCGUA
Molecule: ribosomal RNA, 449 nt
Filed under: uncultured bacterium
Lineage: Bacteria
Description: partial 16S ribosomal RNA
Rfam family: Bacterial small subunit ribosomal RNA
Source: RNAcentral